CAUGCCAGGAAAGCAGAAAUAUGACGAAGCAGCAAACCGGAAGUGCCUGACAAGGGUGCAUUCUACUUGCACUUUCCAUAUGAAAACACGGGCAGCGGAGAUUGCAAUGUACAGCACAGAGGAGGGUAAUUAAGGAAAACCACAAAGGGAGUCAAGGCAAAUGGAUGAGGCAGGAUCAGAGGAGAAAAAGGGAAAAACUUUACAAUGUUGGUCUUGUCGCCGCCAUGGCCACCAUGCAGGAGACAGACAAUGUCCUAAAUUCAUGGCUGAUGCUACUCAAACAGAUCGCUUCAGAUGGGGCCAUGAAGACCCAAUGAGACAGUAUAUAGAGGAUAGGAAACGAAGACAGAAAGAAGAGAGGUAGAAUUCAGCAGCUGAAGGAUUUGAUAGAGCAGACAUCUUCAUCUUCAGACUCUGAUUUGAAUGGAGGAAGGAAAUCAUCUAAAAAGAAAAAACAUCACAAAAUGCGUAGGAAGAAGAAAGUAAAAAGAUUAAAAUCAUCUCAGGCUAGUGUGGAAUGUGACAAAGACAGGAAGGAAUCAAAGAGCCACAAGACUGAUAGAGAAUGUGAUAACAGCAACAAUAGGAGAGCUAAGCAUUGUAAUAAACACAAACAUCUAAGUGAUUCUGAUGAUAGAAAAAGGAAACACAAACAUCUGAGUGACACUGAGGACACAAAAAGGAGAAAGCAAGAACGCAAACAUUACAAAGAAAGGAAGAAAGACCACAAGUACAAGGUGAAGAAACAUCACAAAGGAAAACAUAAAAGGGAAUAUAAAUAAAAAACAUAAAGAUUG
RNA transcript from Mizuhopecten yessoensis (Yesso scallop), 797 nucleotides. It is a transcript of the gene named retinitis pigmentosa 9 protein-like, with no coding region annotated. NCBI's taxonomy places the organism in Eukaryota, Metazoa, Mollusca, Bivalvia, Pectinida, Pectinidae. The transcript is spliced from 6 exons. The record is from RefSeq and is a predicted model, not a curated record.